This is a long non-coding RNA of Nomascus leucogenys (northern white-cheeked gibbon), 971 nucleotides long. RefSeq lists it as uncharacterized. The transcript has 2 exons. The record is from RefSeq and is a predicted model, not a curated record. Lineage: Eukaryota; Metazoa; Chordata; Mammalia; Primates; Hylobatidae.
AGUCUGCGGAGGGGGAGGGCGAGGGGCGGCGGCGCAGGGGUGCACAGAGGCGGACGGCGAGGUGGAUUUCGGAGCCGCGGCGCUUACCUGAUAGUCGACAGAGGCGAGGACGGAGAGGACAGCGGAGGAGGAGAAGGUGGCUGUGGUGGCGGCGGCAGAAGGAGUCAGAACAAGGACAGGCCUGUGAUGUGUCUGUCUAUGACGAGGAGGACAAUGUCCUAAGGAACAGAGAGGAAGAAAGUGAAGGGAACCAGGUCCCUGGAUUCCAUGUGGAACAGUAGCCCAGGAUGUGCACUAUGGACUGUUACAAGAAAGAGAAAGACAUGAUCUUCCUUAAGGCAUUGAUUUAUCCUGGGUCUCUUUGUUAUAGCUACUUAAUGUUACCUUAAUACACCCACUUCAUGGACAAGCAAAACUGAGGCUCGGAGAAGCCCACGUUGACACAGCAAGGAAGGCUGGGGCUCUUGUGCUGCUUAAAUGGACCCUGAUGUCUCCCAAAUGUUUUCAUGCUGGAUUCUGAGCCACUGUCCUGGCUGCAACUCUGAGGCCGGGCAGACCUCCCACUGGAAAGAGAACUUGAAUACUGGUGAGAGGUAGAUUUGAAGCCAGGAGCCCCAGGUUUUGGCUCUGCAGGUUUGCACCCAGCUCUGAGGUGUGUGCUCUCACAGGUCACCCAGGACCUCCUGUCCAGGUUUCUUCAGGCCACCCAUGAUGGAGUGGAUUUGAGGAAUGAGGUUUUCAAAGCAGUUAGUGUGGGGGAGAGUAACCCUGGGGCCUCCGGAACCAGAAGGGAGGGAUUUGGGGGCUGGAGCUGGGCAGUCCAGGUUCCAUUGUCCUCAUGUUCUCCCCACUGGCCUGGCCUGUCACUCCAGUCUCUGCAUAGGUUGUCACAUGGCAUUCUCCCUGUGUGUCUCUGUGUCUCUUCACUUCUUUAUAAGGACAUAGUUAUAAUGGAUUAGGGCCCACCCUAA